UUGGCCGUAGGGCUUGCUUCUAUUGGACCUGGAGUUGGUCAAGGUACUGCUGCAGGACAAGCUGUAGAAGGUAUUGCGAGACAGCCAGAAGCAGAAGGUAAAAUACGAGGUACUUUAUUGCUUAGUCUAGCUUUUAUGGAAGCUUUAACAAUUUAUGGACUAGUUGUGGCACUAGCGCUUGAUCAAACGAUCCCCAUGCCAGCCCAAAUCAUGAUCUUCACCAACUUGGAUUUGGUUCUCUCGCGAAAAUCGCGAGUUGCAGAGAUGAGAACCAUGAAAAGCAAGAUCCCGAAUAAGAAAACAGAAACCGAGGAAGAGGAAACCACAAGAGUGAAGACUAGUAGAGUCUCGUCUUUUGUCAUUCUUUGCUCCUUUUUCACUCAAUGA
Molecule: ribosomal RNA, 387 nt
Filed under: Triticum aestivum (bread wheat)
Lineage: Eukaryota; Viridiplantae; Streptophyta; Magnoliopsida; Poales; Poaceae
Description: partial small subunit ribosomal RNA
Source: RNAcentral